GACGAACGCUGGCGGCGUGCCUAAUACAUGCAAGUUGAGCGCUGAAGGUUGGUCCUUGUACCAACUGUAUGAGCAGCGCACGGGUGAGUAACGCGUGGGGAAUCUGCCUUUGAGCGGGGGACAACAUUUGGAAACGAAUUCUAAUACCGCAUAAAAACUUUAAACACAAGUUUUAAGUUUGAAAGAUGCAAUUGCCUCACUCACAGAUGAUCCCGCGUUGUAUUAGCUAGUUGGUGAGGUAAAGGCUCACCAAGGCGAUGAUACAUAGCCGACCUGAGAGGGGGAUCGGCAAAAUUGGGACUGAGACACGGCCCAAACUCCUACGGGAGGAAGCAGUAGGGAAGCUUCGGCAAGGGACGAAAGUCGGACCGAGAAACGCCGCGGGAGGGAAGAAGGGUUUCGGAUCGUAAAACUCGGUUGGUAGAGAAGAACGGUGGGGAGAGUGGAAAGCUCAUCAAGUGACGGUAACUACCCAGAAAGGGACGGCUAACUACGUG
RNAcentral lists this ribosomal RNA (497 nucleotides) under uncultured bacterium. RNAcentral describes it as "partial 16S ribosomal RNA". It matches the Rfam family "Bacterial small subunit ribosomal RNA", at positions 28 to 507 of the family's 1533-position model. The record is from RNAcentral.